AGAUGAACCUGUUUUGCCCCGAAGGCUAUUUCUUCCCCAAUAUAACGAACAUAACGACAGUCCGAUGCGACACGAACGGAAACUGGACGGACAUCGACCCUGCAUUUCUGAACUGUAGAAUUCUCGCCUUGGAGGACCCCAGAACACCCAACAACAGCUUCCUGAUCGGCCCUCAACCACCUUACUGGGAGAACACGACCGUGGUCUACGCGUGCCCCGAGAACAGUCUGUUCCCCUCGGGUCUAAACUACACCUGGGCCACUUUCAACGGGACCGACUGGAUCUACGCUGACCCGGACGCUGCCUGUAUCAAGUCAUGCCCUCUCCCCUUCACGCCGGCGCCAGCUGUGAAACGAAGCUUCCUGGUAUCGCCGAUAGAGGGUGCAACAGUCACGUAUUACUGUCCUGCCGGAUUCGAGGGCGGCGAAACUAACUUCACGAAUGUUUGUCUGGAUGGGAACUGGACCAUGGACUCUCUCCCCGUGU
Molecule: long non-coding RNA, 486 nt
Organism: Penaeus chinensis
Lineage: Eukaryota; Metazoa; Arthropoda; Malacostraca; Decapoda; Penaeidae
Exons: 3
Source: RefSeq, a predicted model, not a curated record